Molecule: ribosomal RNA, 301 nt
Filed under: uncultured Gelria sp.
Lineage: Bacteria; Bacillati; Bacillota; Clostridia; Thermoanaerobacterales; Thermoanaerobacteraceae
Description: partial 16S ribosomal RNA
Rfam family: Bacterial small subunit ribosomal RNA
Source: RNAcentral
UGCAUGUUAGUGUGCUGCGGGCGCGGUAAUACUUAGGGGGCGAUGGUUUGCCUGGAUUAGUGGUCUUAGAUGGCUCUUAGGCGGGUGGUCGCGACGGGAGUGAAAACUUAGGGCUGAAGCCGGAGCGUGCUUGCGGUACGGGCUGACUAGAGGUAUGCAGGGGAGAACGGAAUUCCUGGUGUAGCGGUGGAAUGCGCAGAUAUCAGGAGGAACACCGGUGGCGAAGGCGGUUCUCUGGGCAUUACCUGACGCUGAGGAGCGAAAGCAUGGGGAGCGAACAGGAUUAGAUACCCGGGUAGUC